UACGUAGGGGGCAAGCGUUGUCCGGAAUCAUUGGGCGUAAAGCGCGUGUAGGCGGCUUGGUAAGUCUGCUCUGAGAGCCCGGGGCUCAACUCCGGGCUUGCAUUCGAUACGGGCAGACUAGAGUUCGGUAGGGGAGACUGGAAUUCCUGGUGUAGCGGUGAAAUGCGCAGAUAUCAGGAGGAACACCGGUGGCGAAGGCGGGUCUCUGGGCCGAUACUGACGCUGAGGAGCGAAAGCGUGGGGAGCAAACAGG
This 253-nucleotide ribosomal RNA is filed under the name uncultured bacterium. RNAcentral describes it as "partial 16S ribosomal RNA". It matches the Rfam family "Bacterial small subunit ribosomal RNA", at positions 524 to 776 of the family's 1533-position model. The record is from RNAcentral.